AUACGAAGGGGGCAAGCGUUGUUCGGAAUAACUGGGCGUAAAGCGCACGUAGGCGGAGUGUUAAGUUAGAGGUGAAAUCCCAGGGCUCAACCCUGGAACGGCCUUUAAUACUGGCAAUCUAGAGACCGAGAGAGGUGAGUGGAAUUCCGAGUGUAGAGGUGAAAUUCGUAGAUAUUCGGAGGAACACCAGUGGCGAAGGCGGCUCACUGGCUCGGUACUGACGCUGAGGUGCGAAAGCGUGGGGAGCAAACAGGAUUAGAAACCCUAGUAGUCC
This 274-nucleotide ribosomal RNA is filed under the name uncultured bacterium. Its description in RNAcentral is "partial 16S ribosomal RNA". It matches the Rfam family "Bacterial small subunit ribosomal RNA", at positions 523 to 796 of the family's 1533-position model. The record is from RNAcentral.